This 253-nucleotide ribosomal RNA is filed under the name uncultured bacterium. RNAcentral describes it as "partial 16S ribosomal RNA". It matches the Rfam family "Bacterial small subunit ribosomal RNA", at positions 524 to 776 of the family's 1533-position model. The record is from RNAcentral.
UACCGAGGUCUCAAGCGUUGUUCGGAUUCAUUGGGCGUAAAGGGUGCGUAGGCGGCGCGGUAAGUCGGGUGUGAAAUCUCGGGGCUUAACUCCGAAACUGCAUUCGAUACUGCCGUGCUUGAGGACUGGAGAGGAGACUGGAAUUUACGGUGUAGCGGUGAAAUGCGUAGAUAUCGUAAGGAAGACCAGUGGCGAAGGCGGGUCUCUGGACAGUUCCUGACGCUGAGGCACGAAGGUCAGGGGAGCAAACGGG